AUGAAUAAGAAUCAUAUGUUCGAUUGCAUCCAAAGCAUUGGCUUGCUUGCUUACUCUUCCAUUUUAAAAAUAAGUGUUGUUUCCGAUGUCAUACACUCUUACUACACUAUUAUUUUUGGACCAGGUUUCAACAUGAACCCUGUGGACCUUCCUUCCAAAGUCAUCCUGGAUGCUAUGUUUGACAAAGUCGGCCUUCCAGCGGCCGCCUACUCUGCACGUGUAGUUCAUCGCGGGUGCCUUGAAGUCACUGUCGCCUUCCAUCCAAUUGCCAGUGAACUGGAGCGUCCUGUUAGUCAGACAUAUAUUUCAACCUCUGCUUUCACUGAUCUGGAAGAAGCGCAGAAUCAUGUUGCGCAUAAAGCCAUGGAAUUCAUGGAGCAGGAACACAGUGUGGUCCCAGGUGAUUAUAACUAUAACAAACUUCAAUCUGCUAGGCUUAAUAACGAGUCACUGCGUGAGCGUCUGAAAGAAAAGGAUCGCAGUAUCGAAACACUGAAAAAGGUCAAUACAUCUCUGGCGCAGCAAUUGGAAGAGAAGAACAACACUCUUGACUCCAUUAUGAAGACAAACAAAGACAUGAUGGAGAAGGUGGCUGAAAGAGAUGAUGUCAUUGAAUCCAUCAAAAAUGUCAAUCAAACACUACUAAAGCAGCUUGGUGAGAAACAAGAUAUAAUAAAGAAGCUCAGCAAAGGCUGGGAUAACUCACUGGAUACCGGAUUUUCAGCAACCAUCCAACUUCAGCGUCUGAUUGACGAGGGCAUGUCCCCUGGAUCAACGCAGGCAGACAUUGAGCUCAAUGCGAGUCUCCAGAAUGCUCAGCACAUAUGUGAGUACCUUGAGCAGAACACCAUCCUUGCUGUUGAGUACCUGCAGUCCAUUGGGACAUAUCCAUAUGACCCAAAGUCAGGCUUUACUGAUGAGGAAGACAAUUGUUCAGUAGACCUCGAGCCCGUGCCACCAGAGAAUCCACCCUACAUGAGAAGCUGGCUGGAUGAUGAGGAGAUCUUUGACAGUGAAGGUAAUUUCUCUACAGACUUCGACACUUUGCCCGAGGAGCACUUCUGA
RNAcentral lists this ribosomal RNA (1065 nucleotides) under Triticum aestivum (bread wheat). RNAcentral's name for it is "partial small subunit ribosomal RNA". The record is from RNAcentral. Lineage: Eukaryota; Viridiplantae; Streptophyta; Magnoliopsida; Poales; Poaceae.